RNAcentral lists this ribosomal RNA (468 nucleotides) under uncultured bacterium. RNAcentral describes it as "partial 16S ribosomal RNA". It matches the Rfam family "Bacterial small subunit ribosomal RNA", at positions 28 to 507 of the family's 1533-position model. The record is from RNAcentral.
GACGAACGCUGGCGGCGUGCUUAACACAUGCAAGUCGAACGGAAAGGCCCUGCUUUUGUGGGGUGCUCGAGUGGCGAACGGGUGAGUAACACGUGAGUAACCUGCCCUUGACUUUGGGAUAACUUCAGGAAACUGGGGCUAAUACCGGAUAGGAGCUCCUGCUGCAUGGUGGGGGUUGGAAAGUUUCGGCGGUUGGGGAUGGACUCGCGGCUUAUCAGCUUGUUGGUGGGGUAGUGGCUUACCAAGGCUUUGACGGGUAGCCGGCCUGAGAGGGUGACCGGCCACCUUGGGCCUGAGGUACGGCCCAGUCUCCUACGGGCGGCAGCAGUGGGGAAUAUUGCGCAAUGGGCGGAAGCCUGAUGCAGCAACGCCGCGUGCGGGAUGACGGCCUUCGGGUUGUAAACCGCCUUCGCCUGUGCCGUAGCGUUAGUGACGGUAAUGGGUAAAGAAGCACCGGCUAACUACGUG